Molecule: ribosomal RNA, 486 nt
Filed under: uncultured bacterium
Lineage: Bacteria
Description: partial 16S ribosomal RNA
Rfam family: Bacterial small subunit ribosomal RNA
Source: RNAcentral
AUUGAACGCUGGCGGCAUGCCUUACACAUGCAAGUCGAACGGCAGCACGGGUGCUUGCACCUGGUGGCGAGUGGCGAACGGGUGAGUAAUACAUCGGAACAUGUCCUGUAGUGGGGGAUAGCCCGGCGAAAGCCGGAUUAAUACCGCAUACGAUCUACGGAUGAAAGCGGGGGACCUUCGGGCCUCGCGCUAUAGGGUUGGCCGAUGGCUGAUUAGCUAGUUGGUGGGGUAAAGGCCUACCAAGGCGACGAUCAGUAGCUGGUCUGAGAGGACGACCAGCCACACGGGGACUGAGACACGGCCCAGACUCCGACGGGAGGCAGCAGUGGGGAAUUUUGGACAAUGGGCGAAAGCCUGAUCCAGCAAUGCCGCGUGUGUGAAGAAGGCCUUCGGGUUGUAAAGCACUUUUGUCCGGAAAGAAAUCCUUGGCCCUAAUACGGUCGGGGGAUGACGGUACCGGAAGAAUAAGCACCGGCUAACUACGUG